UCUUAUAUGGAGAGUUUGAUCCUGGCUCAGGACGAACGCUGGCGGCGUGCCUAAUACAUGCAA
RNAcentral lists this ribosomal RNA (63 nucleotides) under Cytobacillus firmus. Its description in RNAcentral is "partial 16S ribosomal RNA". It matches the Rfam family "Bacterial small subunit ribosomal RNA", at positions 1 to 60 of the family's 1533-position model. Lineage: Bacteria; Bacillati; Bacillota; Bacilli; Caryophanales; Bacillaceae. The record is from RNAcentral.